Acomys russatus (golden spiny mouse) is the source of this 478-nucleotide long non-coding RNA. RefSeq lists it as uncharacterized. NCBI's taxonomy places the organism in Eukaryota, Metazoa, Chordata, Mammalia, Rodentia, Muridae. The transcript has 3 exons. The record is from RefSeq and is a predicted model, not a curated record.
ACUACACCACCCCCAGCGAUAUCCUGGCACCCAGAGAGCACUCCUUUUCAGCCAGAGCCCAGAAACAGCCGUUGUCCCCUGGCAAAAGAGGCCCAGUGCAGGGCCCUGGGCAAGUGUGUCCAGACACCCCUACCUUUCCUGCCUUUAUUAGUCUCCUCCUCCAACAGAGCCCAUUUCCUUUUGCCACUAAAACUAGGUUUCAUCCAAAAGUUUCUCACAAGCUUAAAAGAGAAAAAUGAAAAAUUGACACCAUUAUACAGAAGAAUUCACAAAAGCUGCAGAGCGCCAGGGCAGAGAAGCAGCGACAGACACAGGAGCUGGCUCAGCAGUCUCUUACUGACCCUCUUAGCCUACAAAGCAGUUUCUCCUAGGAAGCUUCCUGUCAGGCCCUCAGGACACACAGGAUGAUGCUUCCAAGUCACUCCCGGAACAGAACGAGGCUCUCACUGGCCUGCGUCUGAGAAGCUACUUCCCCCCC